UAGGGAAUCUUCCACAAUGGGCGCAAGCCUGAUGGAGCAACACCGCGUGAGUGAAGAAGGGUUUCGGCUCGUAAAGCUCUGUUGUUAAAGAAGAACGUGGGUAAGAGUAACUGUUUACCCAGUGACGGUAUUUAACCAGAAAGUCACGGCUAACUACGUGCCAG
Molecule: ribosomal RNA, 164 nt
Filed under: uncultured bacterium
Lineage: Bacteria
Description: partial 16S ribosomal RNA
Rfam family: Bacterial small subunit ribosomal RNA
Source: RNAcentral